RNAcentral lists this ribosomal RNA (216 nucleotides) under uncultured fungus. Its description in RNAcentral is "partial small subunit ribosomal RNA". The stretch from base 103 to 216 matches the Rfam family "Eukaryotic small subunit ribosomal RNA", at positions 748 to 864 of the family's 1831-position model. The record is from RNAcentral. Lineage: Eukaryota; Fungi.
GGGUUGGCCAGGCGGUCCAUCGCAAGAUGCGUACUGCUUUGGUUGGCUCUAAACUUCUGGGGAACGGUACUCGCCGCUUCAUUGUGGCGGUCCGGGAGCCAGACUAUUACCUUGAAAAAAUCAGAGUGUUCAAAGCAAGCUUACGCUUGAAUGUUACAGCAUGGAAUAAUGAAAUAGGACUAUGGUCUUAUUUUGUUGGUUUCUAAGACCACAGUA